Molecule: long non-coding RNA, 362 nt
Filed under: Homo sapiens (human)
Lineage: Eukaryota; Metazoa; Chordata; Mammalia; Primates; Hominidae
Description: LHRI_LNC1140.1
Source: RNAcentral
AAAUUGUUUCCAAAUGCCUGUGGGUUGCAAUAUGAUUUUCCCAUCUUGAAAAUCUAUUAAAAAGGAAGAGAUUCUUCACUUCUCCCCACCCCACCUCCAGGCACUGCAGAUGGCGAUUAACACCCUACACAGCCCCUCCCCAUAGCAUCAUCGAUUUUCUGCCUGCAUUGCAUCUACUUCACAGUUCGAGACAUGCCAAAUCACACACGUUCUAAGUACUUGUUGCUAGCAACAAAUCUCUGUUCCUCAGUGGCCAAGCAGACUAUAUUUGGAAUGUCAGAGCACCUAGCCCUUCCCUGGCCCACUUCCUUUAGCUCAGAAGUCUCCAAGCCUGAAAGUAACCUCACCCGUGUUUCCUUGAG